Molecule: transfer RNA, 57 nt
Filed under: Ovis aries (sheep)
Lineage: Eukaryota; Metazoa; Chordata; Mammalia; Artiodactyla; Bovidae
Rfam family: tRNA
About the family: Transfer RNA (tRNA) molecules are approximately 80 nucleotides in length. Their secondary structure includes four short double-helical elements and three loops (D, anti-codon, and T loops). Further hydrogen bonds mediate the characteristic L-shaped molecular structure. tRNAs have two regions of fundamental functional importance: the anti-codon, which is responsible for specific mRNA codon recognition, and the 3' end, to which the tRNAs corresponding amino acid is attached (by aminoacyl-tRNA synthetases). tRNAs cope with the degeneracy of the genetic code in two manners: having more than one tRNA (with a specific anti-codon) for a particular amino acid; and 'wobble' base-pairing, i.e. permitting non-standard base-pairing at the 3rd anti-codon position.
Source: Rfam by way of RNAcentral
UAACUCAGUUGGUAAAGAAUCUGCCUGCAAUGCAGAAGACCCUGGUUCAAUUCCUGG